GAAAUGCGAUAAGUAGUAUGAAUUGCAGAAUUCAGUGAAUCAUCGAAUCUUUGAACGCACAUUGCGCCCCUUGGUAUUCCAUGGGGCAUGCCUGUUCGAGCGUCAUUUGUACCUUCAAGCUUUGCUUGGUGUUGGGUGUUUGUCUCGCCUCUGCGUGUAGACUCGCCUCAAAACAAUUGGCAGCCGGCGUAUUGAUUUCGGAGCGCAGUACAUCUCGCGCUUUGCACUCAUAACGACGACGUCCAAAAGUACAUUUUUACACUCUUGACCUCGGAUCAGGUAGGGAUACCCGCUGAACUUAAGC
Molecule: unclassified non-coding RNA, 304 nt
Filed under: plant metagenome
Description: partial contains 5.8S ribosomal RNA, internal transcribed spacer 2, and large subunit ribosomal RNA
Rfam family: 5.8S ribosomal RNA (bases 1-105)
Source: RNAcentral